UCAUUAUAUUUUUGAGUACAUUCAUGAGC
Molecule: small RNA, 29 nt
Filed under: Bombyx mori (domestic silkworm)
Lineage: Eukaryota; Metazoa; Arthropoda; Insecta; Lepidoptera; Bombycidae
Description: piRNA piR-bmo-2247097
Source: RNAcentral